Molecule: long non-coding RNA, 915 nt
Organism: Sarcophilus harrisii (Tasmanian devil)
Lineage: Eukaryota; Metazoa; Chordata; Mammalia; Dasyuromorphia; Dasyuridae
Exons: 2
Source: RefSeq, a predicted model, not a curated record
ACACACAUGCAGCUUGGGGAGGAGGUAGCAGAUGACACUCACAGCUCGGCUGAGAUCUGCUAAGAGGAGGAGGGAAGGGAAGACUCUCCAAGAAUAGAGGACAAGCCUGUGCAAAGGAACAGACCAGGGAGACCUGGACAUCAUGGGGAAGAAAUGAGUGGAACAUCAAGGAGGAUGCACAAUAUAUCCAAGUCAGAGGACUCGGAUUUGAAUCCUGCCUGUGGCUUGAUUGGUGUGGCUCUGGAUAAGUCAUUUAACUCGUUCCAGCAUGGAGUAAGGUGGUUGACUAAAAUGGCCUUAGAAGGUCCCUUCCAGCUCGAGUUAUAGGAUCCCAUGAGGAAGCAGAGAUUUCUUCCAAAAUUCUUGGACCUUCCACGGAUCCUGCUCAGCCCUCUCCCUGGUAUGGAAGGGAGCCACCUCAGUAGACCUGGGAUUCCAGGCUGUUCAGAGAUAAUUCAUGAGCCAAUCAUGGGGAGUGGAAAUGAUGGGGCUUUCCAAGUUGCGGAAGGUUGUCUGUGCAGCCCCUUAAUGCUCCCUAACUCUCCAUCAUUACUCUUUACAUGACUCUCCAGGGAUCUACACAACAAACACCGCCUGGCUUAGGGACUGGACUGCACAUCCCACCCUGGACACCGCCUGGCUACGUGGCUCUGGGCAAGUCACUCAUCUCAGGUCUGUUGCCUAUAAAACAGGGAUCGUCCCUGGAGCAUCCACUUCAUAGGCUGGGGCAGGAAUCCAAUGACAUAAUGUUGGGAAGUGUUUUAUAAACCUUAAAAUAUUAUGUAAAUGUCAAGUAGUUUUUUUUGUUCAAAACUUGUUACUUCACUGGAAUAAUCCAUCGUUAACUAAUCACCAACGAUGUUCCACAGGCCUUGUGCUUGAGCUCAGAAAUAACAAAGACAUACAUGAAAUAGU